Non-coding RNA from Pan troglodytes (chimpanzee), 157 nucleotides. It matches the Rfam family "Metazoan signal recognition particle RNA", at positions 96 to 252 of the family's 299-position model. Rfam says of the family: The signal recognition particle (SRP) is a universally conserved ribonucleoprotein. It is involved in the co-translational targeting of proteins to membranes. The record is from Rfam. NCBI's taxonomy places the organism in Eukaryota, Metazoa, Chordata, Mammalia, Primates, Hominidae.
UGCCAACUGGGUGUCCACACUAAGUUCGGCAUCAAUAUGGUGACUUCCUGGGAGCAGGGCACUACCAGCUUACCUAAGGAUGGGUGAACUGGCCCAGGUCAGAAAUGAAGCAGGUCAGAACUCCCAUGCUGAUCGGUAGUGGGACUGCACCUAGGCA